Molecule: RNA transcript, 2596 nt
Organism: Myotis lucifugus (little brown bat)
Lineage: Eukaryota; Metazoa; Chordata; Mammalia; Chiroptera; Vespertilionidae
Gene name: bromodomain-containing protein 9 pseudogene
Exons: 1
Source: RefSeq, a predicted model, not a curated record
GCACAAGACCGAGUGGCGCUCCUCGUACGAGGAGUAUGCAGACAAACCCUUGGAGAAGCCCCUGAAGCUGGUUCUCAAGUUUAGAGGAAGUGAAGUGACUGAACUCUUGGGAUCUGGCCAUGAUUCCAGUUACUACGAUGACAGGUCAGACCAUGAGCGAGAGAGGCACAAAAAAAAGAAGAAAAAGAAGAAAAAGUCAGAGAAGGAGAAAUACCUGGACGAUGACGAAAGAAGGAAACGGAAGGAAGAGAAGAAGCGGAAACGGGAAAAGGAACACUGUGACACGGAGGGAGAGGCUGAUGACUUUGAUCCUGGGAAGAAGGUAGAGGUGGAGCCACCUCCCGAUCUGCCAGUCCGAGCGUGCCGGACACAGCCAGCUGAAAAUGAGAGCACGCCUAUUCAGCAACUACUAGAACAUUUCCUCCGCCAGCUCCAGAGAAAAGAUCCUCGUGGGUUUUUUGCUUUUCCUGUCACGGAUGCAAUUGCUCCUGGAUACUCAAUGAUAAUAAAACAUCCAAUGGAUUUUGGCACAAUGAAAGACAAAAUCAUGGCUAAUGAAUACAAAUCAGUCACGGAAUUUAAGGCAGAUUUCAAACUGAUGUGUGAUAAUGCAAUGACAUACAACAGACCAGACACUGUGUACUACAAGUUAGCUAAGAAGAUCCUUCACGCAGGCUUUAAGAUGAUGAGCAAAGAGCGGCUGUUAGCUUUGAAGUGCAGCAUGUCGUUUAUGCAGGACAUGGAUUUUUCUCAGCAGGCAGCUCUUCUGGGCAACGAAGACACAGCUGUUGAGGAACCAGUUCCCAAAGUUGUACCUGUACAAGUAGAAACUGCUAAGAAAUCCAAAAGGCCGAGUAGAGAAGUCAUCAGCUGCAUGUUUGAGCCAGAAGGAAAUGCUUGCAGCUUGACUGACAGCACAGCAGAAGAACAUGUGCUGGCCUCGGUGGAGCACACAGCAGACGAGGCUCGGGACAGGAUCAACCGACUCCUUCCAGGUAGCAAGAUGGGCUACCUGAAGAAGAGCGGAGAUGGGAGCCUGCUCUACAGCGUGGUCAACACAGCUGAGCCUGAUGCCGACGAGGAGGAGACCCACCCGGUGGACCUGAGCUCCCUCUCCAGCAAGCCGCUCCCCGGCUUCAGCUUCACCACUCUGGGCUUCAAAGAUGAGAGAAGAAGCAAAGUCACAUUUCUCUCAAGUGCCAGUACUGCACUUUCAAUGCAUAAUAAUUCUGUAUUUGGAGACUUGAAAUCAGACGAAACGGAGCUUCUGUAUUCUGCCUAUGGAGAUGAGACAGGUGUGCAGUAUGCGCUGAGCCUGCAGGAGUUUGUGAAGGAUGCUGGGAGCUACAGCAAGAGAAUGGUGGACGACCUUCUGGACCAGAUCACAGGCGGAGACCACUCCCGCAUGCUCUUCCAGCUGAGGCAGAGGAGAAAUGUCGCGAUGAAGCCAUCAGAUGAAGUAAAGACUGGGGACUCCCUAGGAGAUGGUGGCUCUGUGCUGGAUUUCAUGUCAAUGAAGUCGUAUUCUGACGUCUCUUUGGACAUCUCCAUGCUCAGCUCUCUGGGGAAAGUGAAGAAGGAGCUGGACCAUGAUGACAGCCAUUUGAACUUGGAUGAGACGACAAAGCUCCUACAGGAUCUGCAUGAGGCACAAGCAGAGCAUGGGGGCUCCCGGCCAUCGUCCAACCUCAGCUCCCUGUCUAACACCUCCGACAGGGAUCAGCACCACCUGGGAAGCCCUUCUCACCUCAGUGUCGAUAAGCAGCCAGAGGUGACCCAUGACCCGUACGAAUUUCUUCAGUCUCCAGAACCUGCAGCCUCUACAAAGAGCUAGCCUUGUAGAUAGUCAUUAAUUGUUUUUCUUUGUUUUGUUUUUAUUUUGUUUUGUUUUUAUUUGCAUGUACAGAGUUUUUGUUGUGAGACAAAGACUAUCAUGGUCCCUUGGGCCUGCAGGAAGCAGCGCAGGGAGGGGGUGAAUUGUCUCUGAUCAUGUUGGCUGCACAUGGACCUAGUGUUUCUGUAGAUAGUCCUGUGAACCUGAAGAGUGGGAACCCUAAAUAAAGGGGGUGUAAAGCUGGUGUGGUCUUUCUCUGAGCUUCGUGGUGUCAGUGAAACCCUUCUCUGCGGCCGGUGUGGGCGCACCUGUUCUGCCCCGUGUCCCCCACAAGUGGCCUUUGGGAAGCAGAGUCUGUUGGGGAUCCUGUAUAUUCUUUCCCACUGUCCCCCCACAUCCCCGCAUUUCUGAGGCAAAUCUUGGUAGGGGCCAUACAGAAGCACAUGGGGAGCCGGUCGAGCACCCUCCUGGUCCUGGACAGGCAGGGAGUUGCGUACAGCUUCCCUGUGCUUAAUUCAUAUGCCUGAGAAAGGAGUACAUUCUGCUGGAAGACUUGGAGGUCAGCUGUCUUACCAGUUACGAUGAAGUGUUAUGUCCAUAAAAUGUUUUUUAUUCUGGAUAUGUUUGCUGGAUGCCUGCUUAUAUUGGCAAAGUAUAAAGAUCUUAAUAAGAUACACAAAGAGUGUAAUUGUAUAGAAUUAUUUACAGCAUUACUAGGUGUCCACUUUUGUGUGACUUUUCAGUAAAAAUCCUUUGUCACAA